This 497-nucleotide ribosomal RNA is filed under the name uncultured bacterium. RNAcentral describes it as "partial 16S ribosomal RNA". It matches the Rfam family "Bacterial small subunit ribosomal RNA", at positions 28 to 507 of the family's 1533-position model. The record is from RNAcentral.
GAUGAACGCUGGCGGCGUGCCUAAUACAUGCAAGUCGAGCGAACAGAUGAGGAGCUUGCUCCUCUGACGUUAGCGGCGGACGGGUGAGUAACACGUGGAUAACCUACCUAUAAGACUGGGAUAACUUCGGGAAACCGGAGCUAAUACCGGAUAAUAUAUUGAACCGCAUGGUUCAAUAGUGAAAGACGGUUUUGCUGUCACUUAUAGAUGGAUCCGCGCCGCAUUAGCUAGUUGGUAAGGUAACGGCUUACCAAGGCAACGAUGCGUAGCCGACCUGAGAGGGUGAUCGGCCACACUGGAACGGAGACACGGUCCAGACUCCUACGGGAGGCAGCAGUAGGGAAUCUUCCGCAAUGGGCGAAAGCCUGACGGAGCAACGCCGCGUGAGUGAUGAAGGUCUUCGGAGCGUAAAACUCUGUUAUUAGGGAAGAACAAAUGUGUAAGUAACUAUGCACGUCUUGACGGUACCUAAUCAGAAAGCCACGGCUAACUACGUG